RNAcentral lists this long non-coding RNA (741 nucleotides) under Chloebia gouldiae (Gouldian finch). Its description in RNAcentral is "Erythrura gouldiae (Gouldian finch) lncRNA (ENSEGOG00005001160.1)". The record is from RNAcentral. Lineage: Eukaryota; Metazoa; Chordata; Aves; Passeriformes; Passeridae.
CACAGCACGAAUUCCCCAGCAAUCUGCCAGAGAACCUACACAGUGGCUGAGGGAUGUGCUCCAAAGUGUUUGGGUGACUUGUGCCUCUCCUUUAACCAUGUGGUACCUGCAGGUCACCCAGCUCAGCUGGCUCCUACCUGAGCCACAGCUCACCUUCCGUGCACAGGAGCCUUGCAGAGGCUGCAGCCAAGUGCCACCUGACAAGCCCCAGCAACUUUUGACAGCUGAAGGGAGUAAAAGAAUUAGCAGAAAUGUGAAUGCUGUGAAGAAAGAGGACUAAAAGCUUUCCAGAAAUUAUAACUGAAUACUCAUUUGAAGACUAUGAUGCCGCUGGUCUCAGAAGAAAAAUGUCCAUAUUACUCCUAUCACAUCUUGACCUUCACACACUCAUUCUCCUUUUCAUGGGUAAAAGUUGGUGGUAACUGGAUGAGUGCAACUACAAGGAUGACACCUGGAGAAUAUCUAGGAGAUUUAGGUAUGCAGGGCAGAGAACACUCCUGUGAGUUGGGAUGAGGAUUUUUCCUGGACAUGGAGCAGAGCCUUUUUUUAAACAGUGAAACUGAAGUAAUAUGUGAGAUAUGAGCAGUAAUAUCAGUGAAUGAGGCAUAUUUCAGUGUUGCCUAUGAGGCCUAAGUGAACCAAUUCAACCCUGAGAUAUUCUUGUUCUUUCUUGCUUUGGUGAAAGCUACAUUUCUAUUUGUAUAUGGAAAAUAAAAUUUGUGUGACUACAGUGAAUAUACA